Molecule: microRNA precursor, 95 nt
Filed under: Nicotiana sylvestris (wood tobacco)
Lineage: Eukaryota; Viridiplantae; Streptophyta; Magnoliopsida; Solanales; Solanaceae
Also listed under: 1 other name
Description: MIR6152 microRNA precursor family
Rfam family: MIR6152 microRNA precursor family
Source: Rfam by way of RNAcentral
UGCAUUCGAUAGUAUUCGACUGUAUUCACGGUGUGAAAUAGGGGAUUACAUUAUUUUUAAAACGGAAAGUGAAUCAAUUAAUAUAAUAGACAUCU